CAAGGGAGGUUCGGCCGAACCUGGGGCUGACCCAAUCCAGCCCAAUUUCGGCUGGCGGCCGGCCUCCUCUGCUGCUUCACUUCGUAGACUUGUGAAUUUUGGCCUGAUUCAUCUUGUCAAUUCUGAGUUCUUGGCCCAUUCAUACACAAGUCUGGUUCUCGACAUCGUCCGAUUGAUUUAUCAUCUGAGUUGAUGUCGAUUCUCCUCCACUUUAUUGUCAUUCUCUGCAAAAGGUUAUUAGACCUAAUACUAGUGGAAUAUUAUUAUUCUAACAUAUUUAUGCAUUGCAAGCAUCACUAGUUCUCACCUAUUUUAGUAAUAUUGACGGUCGAAACUAGUCGAUAACGACCGUCAACACUAACCCUGUCUGACUCGAACCCUGCCGAUCUUAGUCGUAGCCAAUUCGGACUUUAGCCGAUCCUCACUCUAUUUCAGGGACAAUCUCUAUCUCGAACUCCGUCUUGAUUCCUCCUUCACGUCCGAUCCUUGGAUUACCAAAUUUGGUCGUUAACAGAACCCCAACGGCAAGGCACCUCCUCCCCUCCCCUCCCUCCCUUCACCCGCAACGCAACAAGACCCCCUUCUUCUUCUCCAGCAAGGCAGCAACCUGGAUCGACCAAAGACCAAUGGAGCUCUCGGAAUCCUCCUCCAACGCAAAUCUUCUUGGACAAUCUUCCAAAGUCAGAAAGUCAAACCCGCCACACGCCUAGUAGACUUGCGCGGGGGAGGGAGAAGGCAGCGGCGUUCCCGGAGUCCACCGUGCGGAGCGAGCACCUCGCAGCGAUGGCGACGGCGAAGGCGGAUGAUCUCCUAGCGCCAGCAGAGGAGACGAGCAGCGUCGGUGGUUGGAUUGGGAGUCCGCCGCGUGGAGUCCUCCCUACGCCAACAACGGUUCAACGGAGGCGGAACAUCGCGCGGAGCGGGCACCUCCCGGCGACGGCGACGUCGGAUGACCUCCCAGAGCCAGCAGAGGAGACGAGCGGCGUCGGCGGUUGGAUAGGGAACCCUAACCCUAAAUGCACCUCAAAUCGCGGAGACGAACGACGAGCGCCGUCUACGCGCCGGCUCUGACCUGUGCCUCGUCACCCACCUCGCCCGCCGCCAUCGCGCCUCCGCCGCCCCCUCCUUCCCCUAACCCUAACCGCACCUCAAAUCGUGCCGCCGCGCGGAGUCCUUCCCGCCAGCGGCGGUUCAACGAAGACGGUAGCGGCGGGGGACUGGAUGUCGUGGGGGAUUGGAUUUGUUUUUUUUUUUUGCAUUUUUAUUCUGUGGCGACGUGGUCAGCCGAUGGUGCACGCUUGCGCGGUUUGUUUGGGCCGGAUGACAGGUGGGUCCCAUGGGAUAGUGGAUAUGAAGGAUUGCAGAAUUAUGGAUGAACUCGUAUUUUUUAUAUUAGUAUAGAUGACUGCAAUUAAUUGUUAACCACGAGCCAUUUUUUUAAUUUUUUUCAGGCACAAUGUAUACAGCAGCGAAUUUUCAGUCAUUUCAAACUGUCGUAGUUAUCGUCUCCCCACUUUUUUCGGAUAGUUUUUUUUUCUCGCCGGCGACAGUGAGCGCCCUUCUUCUCUCGUCGCCCGUGCAGCGGAGGUCGCCCGCGCCGCCGCAAGUUCCUUCCAGGCGGGGAGGUAACAUGCUACACAACACCGCCCCCAAAACAUUUUCCCCUGUUGGAUGGCGACUUGGGCGCUCCAUCGACUACUGGAUGGCACCAUGCGGUUGAGGCUGCGACACCCCCCACCCCCACACCCCCCCGCCCUGUGGCACCGUCGGCUGCCCCUUUGUCGCCGACAUCCAUCCCAUCGCCGGAUCUAGGAGAGCUUCGCCCGAAUUCUCUUCUGAUUCUUGCGUGUCGGUGGUGGGUGGAGAGCAGCGGUACCAACGACAUUUGAAGCACAGAGGGUGGCAGGAUUCGGAGAGGAGGCUGCGGAUCAGGGGUCCGAUGGGUCGUUCUCCCUCCUCCCUAAAGCGGUGGCGAAGGAUGUCAGUAAAUUGUUGUUGGCGUUGUGCGCGGCAGGUCAGCGCCGCCAAGGAAUACAGGAGGUCCGUGUAGCGGCUGUAGUCAAUUGAAAUCUAUUUCAGGUACAGCUCGUUAGUUCCUAUCAACUAAGGCUGUGUUUAGAUCCAAAGUUUGGAUCCAAACUUCAGUCCUUUUUCAUCACAUCAACCUGUCAUACACACAACUUUUCAAUCACAUCAUCUCCAAUUUCAACCAAAAUCCAGCCUAAGUAGUAGCGUUAUAUGGUAUCAGUAGUUUUUUUAUCAGCCUGUAUUGGAUUGCACCGUCGUUUUGAUUUUGGAUGAGCUAUGUGCCUGUGUUGGCUGUGGGGAUGCGGUUUUGUUAAGAUUGGGUAGUAACAACUGAUUAAUGCCUGCCGACGGAAGGGCAUGCAUUUCAAUUGGCAGCCAACGGGAUGAAGUUAAUAUAUGUCAGGUACCUAACAGAACUAAUCUAUUCAUGUGUUUUGUAUCCGUGUAUUGAGUGGACACAUCCAACCUAAACACAUUAGAAGUUGUUUGGUGGAUGGCUUCGCUUGGUGCUAUAAGUGUAUACGUGAUGAAUCAUGCAUGCAGGGCUGUUCUUAGCUUCUGAAAACAAUAGAAGAACUAGGAUGAUCUGUAGAUGUGCACAUGUGGCCUAGAGUCAGCUUAGGUGUCGCAUUCUCUGACAAACGAUUGCUUUGGUAAACCAAGACUGGUGUUUUUUAUUAGUACUAAUUUGGUUUAUUUGAUUAGUUGUAUAUACAAUCAAUUGUUUCCUGUAAAUAAUUUUGACUGAACGUUACAAUGGAAGUUAUUCUAUGUCCUCCAUGGCAUUCAGAUGGUAACUGAAAAUAUAUGAUCGCUGGUAGGAGUAUGUGCUUUCAACUCUGUAGCUUGCAGCAGUUCUCUUGGUAAAAACGAGCCAAAAAUUCUCUAAUAAGCUUAAUCCACACGAUCAACAAUUCAUAAGCCUCUUGAUCAACGUUUUGCCACUUAUCCCUGAUAUGUACCACCAAAUGCCCAUUUAGAUUUCCCAUGAGCUUGCACUUGCAUUAACUUUUGGCUUUUCAGCCUGCAAGCAUCACCAUGUCCUGUGCAAUGCUCAGUUGCUCAUAGCCUCAUACUAUGAGUCAAUCCACUAAGGCAUCCCUACUCAUAGUGCAUAUAUAUGGCAAAUUUUGGUCUUGCAGGAGCACAAUGUAACCCGGUGGACUCGAAGAUGAUGAAAUGCAUCAUGCGGUGACCUGGGAAACAUUGUCGCUAGCGCCGGAGCGGCCAUGCUUGAUCCUGGGCUGCCCAUCCUGAUUCCUAAUGCUACCGCCACACAGUCCUGUUCUACGCUGGUUGGUUGGCGAGCCAGCCGCCUCCACUACAACAUUCGUCCAUCAAAGAUGGAUCCCGCGGUGAAGAGGAGGAUAUGCUGAUCUGAAUUUCUUUGAUGAUUUUUGUUGGAGUGUUUAUAUCCUUUGUAACUUUUUUACUUUUGAGUUUAAGCAUAUCAUUUGUUUAUUGUAUAGUGUGUCUGAAUGUAACAGAACCCGUGUGUAAAAGAAAAUAUUGUCAAUAGAGGCUACAAUGUUAACUGGUAGCUUGGUUUUCUGAUGAAUACAAGUUAAUUGGUAAUGUAGUGUGGAGGUGAAUAA
This is a non-coding RNA of Oryza sativa Japonica Group (Japanese rice), 3623 nucleotides long. Lineage: Eukaryota; Viridiplantae; Streptophyta; Magnoliopsida; Poales; Poaceae. The record is from RefSeq and is a predicted model, not a curated record.